Molecule: small nuclear RNA, 187 nt
Filed under: Sinocyclocheilus rhinocerous
Lineage: Eukaryota; Metazoa; Chordata; Actinopteri; Cypriniformes; Cyprinidae
Description: U1 spliceosomal RNA (ENSSRHG00000031372.1)
Rfam family: U1 spliceosomal RNA
About the family: U1 is a small nuclear RNA (snRNA) component of the spliceosome (involved in pre-mRNA splicing).
Source: RNAcentral
GAACGUACCUGUCUCUGUAUUGUGAUGUAAAGAAAAAAAAAAAUAUAAAAAUAAAUAAAUAAAUAAAAAAAGGUUCACGCAGGGUGAGGCUCAGCCAUUGCACUCCGGUUGUGCUGAUCUCUGCGAAUUCCCCAAAUAUGGGCAUCUCGACUGCAUAAUUUAUGGUAGUGGGGGACUGCGUUCGCGC